Oreochromis niloticus (Nile tilapia) is the source of this 943-nucleotide long non-coding RNA. RefSeq lists it as uncharacterized. Lineage: Eukaryota; Metazoa; Chordata; Actinopteri; Cichliformes; Cichlidae. The record is from RefSeq and is a predicted model, not a curated record. The transcript is spliced from 3 exons.
AUCAACUCCAGAUCUUUUAUCUUCUUAUCCUCCUCAGAACCACUAGAAAGGGCACAAUGAAUAGGAUGGGUCUCAUGUCUCUAGUCCACUAAGAUAAAGUUCUUGUAUAAUUUAAUACACUUUAAUUUUUUACUUGCACUCUAGAAACUUUACUUGUCAUUUUUAAACUAUUGACUGAGUUCACAGAAUCACCAGCAGGGGGCACAACAGACUAGAGUACAGCUCUUCCUGCACAGCUCGGCUUCUCAGGACUGAAGAAAAGCGGUCACUGUUUAAGAGACAGUCAGAGCGGUGACUCUGGAGGCCCACCCAUCCCCAACACCCCAAAUAUACUGGAUAUACUGGAAAAAGUCAACACAUUUAUGAUUUGUGCAUGUUUUUGUGGACUCUCCAGGCCAUGUAAUUAUUUGGAAUUUAAUGGCGAUUCAAACCAAAAAAUUAGCAAUAAUUUAAAAAGUAUUAUUUGCAGGUAAAUUUUAAAAGAAAAAGUUUGGGAUCACAUUAGCUAAUCUGAACCUAGUUGUAGGGGGAAAAGGUGUUGUCAAUAAUUGUUCAUUGUAUUUAACUUUUUGUAAAGAAUUGAAACAUUGUUACCACCUUUAUGUUCAAAGUAUUUACUCAUAUUCUAGCGUGUGUGUGAUAUGUGUGGAAGCUGGUCCACUGGAAAUGGUUGUAAAUGUCAGUCUGUGAGGAUGUUUAAUUGACUUCUUGCUUUUGAUCCAUCCUUAUAGAUAUUACAGUUGUCUUUAUUUAGCAAGGCUAAAUUUGUUUCAAGCUUGUGGUCGCCUAGUUGAAGAUGAUGUUGUGAGAUUAUGAUGAAUGUGUUCUUUUCCCCGACAUUUGACUGCAGUCGUUGUCCAUGGUGCUGAUCAAAAGCUGGAAUGCUGCUGUUGAUAUUAAAGAUUAUUGGUAUAUGCUAUUAUUUUUACAGUUACUCUGUGUG